RNAcentral lists this ribosomal RNA (459 nucleotides) under uncultured bacterium. RNAcentral's name for it is "partial 16S ribosomal RNA". It matches the Rfam family "Bacterial small subunit ribosomal RNA", at positions 338 to 795 of the family's 1533-position model. The record is from RNAcentral.
CCUACGGGAGGCAGCAGUGAGGAAUAUUGGUCAAUGGGCGGGAGCCUGAACCAGCCAAGCCGCGUGAGGGAAGAAGGUACAGCGUAUCGUAAACCUCUUUUGUCAGGGAACAAAGGCGGGGACUUGUCCCCGGAUGAGGGUACCUGAAGAAAAAGCAUCGGCUAACUCCGUGCCAGCAGCCGCGGUAAUACGGAGGAUGCGAGCGUUAUCCGGAUUUAUUGGGUUUAAGGGGUGCGCAGGCGGCCUGUUAAGUCAGCGGUAAAAGCCCGGGGCUCAACCCCGGCGCGCCGUGGAAACUGGCAGGCUGGAGUUGGAGAGAAGUACGCGGAAUGCGCGGUGUAGCGGUGAAAUGCAUAGAUAUCGCGCAGAACCCCGAUUGCGAAGGCAGCGUGCCGGCUCCACACUGACGCUGAGGCACGAAAGCGUGGGUAUCGAACAGGAUUAGAUACCCCAGUAGUC